AGUAAACAAAGCAAUAUUCAUUAUUUUCAUUAUACUGGUGCAGGAAACAAUUAAUAAAGUAGUAACAAUAAAACGCAGGCACUGUAGCAGUAUUCACAAUUUGGAAUUUGACAGAUUAAGAGGAACAGUAGCGAUCAAAUUAAUUUGAAACAAUAAUCAAUUGUAACAAGUAAACAAGGUAAACACAGUGCUGUAUCAAAAUAACAGGACGAUGAACAAUUUUGCAAAUCAAUUUUCUAACUUAAAUCAAUUUGCAAAAUAACAGGUCUUCUAACUUAAAUCAAUUUUGCAAAUUUAAUUUUCUCAGACAUCUAUAAUUUAAUGUAAGCAUAUAACAUAACCAUACCUUAAUAACCACCACGGGUUGAGUUGUGACGGCACGACGAUGAACAAGUACGACUUCCAAAAAAUUGAAUUGCUGGGUAUGUAUAUGGUGGAGAGAAGAGGAUUUAUGGGUUCUUGGAGAUUAGGGUUAACAGUUGGGUUCAAGCAAUUAGAUUGGAGGAAGAUGAACAGGAACAGUUUCUAUGGAUCGUGGAAAUAUUAGGGAUUUCUAUUGAAUUUGAUUUCCAAUAUUAGGGAUUUGAGGAAGAUUUUUGCAAAGCAACUGAUUUUAGUGCAAAGCAACUGAUCGCGGGAAAACAAAAUCCAUAUACUGAA
Molecule: long non-coding RNA, 660 nt
Filed under: Trifolium pratense (red clover)
Lineage: Eukaryota; Viridiplantae; Streptophyta; Magnoliopsida; Fabales; Fabaceae
Description: long non-coding RNA (TPRA_LNC008134)
Source: RNAcentral